CUCCUACUCCCUUCAUUCCGAAUUACUUUCGUAUGUAUGGAUGUAUCUAGAUGUAUUUUAGUUCUAGAUACAUUCAUUUCUGCGACGAGUAAUUUGGAACGGAGGGAGUACCAA
Molecule: non-coding RNA, 114 nt
Organism: Triticum urartu
Lineage: Eukaryota; Viridiplantae; Streptophyta; Magnoliopsida; Poales; Poaceae
Source: Rfam